AUACGUAGGUGGCGAGCGUUGUCCGGAAUUACUGGGCGUAAAGGAUGCGUAGGUGGAUACUUAAGUGGGAUGUGAAAUCCCCGGGCUCAACCCGGGAACUGCAUUCCAAACUGGGUAUCUAGAGUGCAGGAGAGGAAAGCGGAAUUCCUAGUGUAGCGGUGAAAUGCGUAGAUAUUAGGAGGAACACCAGUGGCGAAGGCGGCUUUCUGGACUGUAACUGACACUGAGGCAUGAAAGCGUGGGUAGCAAACAGGAUUAGAUACCCUGGUAGUCCACGCCGUAAACGAUGGGUACUAGGUGUAGGAGGUAUCGACCCCUUCUGUGCCGUCGUUAACACAAUAAGUACCCCGCCUGGGGAGUACGGUCGCAAGACUAAAACUCAAAGGAAUUGACGGGG
Molecule: ribosomal RNA, 397 nt
Filed under: uncultured bacterium
Lineage: Bacteria
Description: partial 16S ribosomal RNA
Rfam family: Bacterial small subunit ribosomal RNA
Source: RNAcentral